ACGAACGCUGGCGGCGUGCUUAACCCAUGCAAGUCGAACGGAAAGGCCCUGCUUUUGUGGGGUGCUCGAGUGGCGAACGGGUGAGUAACACGUGAGUAACCUGCCCUUGACUUUGGGAUAACUUCAGGAAACUGGGGCUAAUACCGGAUAGGAGCUCCUGCUGCAUGGUGGGGGUUGGAAAGUUUCGGCGGUUGGGGAUGGACUCGCGGCUUAUCAGCUUGUUGGUGGGGUAGUGGCUUACCAAGGCUUUGACGGGUAGCCGGCCUGAGAGGGUGACCGGCCACAUUGGGACUGAGAUACGGGCCAGACUCCUACGGGAGGCAGCAGUGGGGAAUAUUGCACAAUGGGCGGAAGCCUGAUGCAGCAACGCCGCGUGCGGGAUGACGGCCUUCGGGUUGUAAACCGCUUUCGCCUGUGACGAAGCGUGAGUGACGGUAAUGGGUAAAGAAGCACCGGCUAACUACGUG
Molecule: ribosomal RNA, 467 nt
Filed under: uncultured bacterium
Lineage: Bacteria
Description: partial 16S ribosomal RNA
Rfam family: Bacterial small subunit ribosomal RNA
Source: RNAcentral